This 250-nucleotide ribosomal RNA is filed under the name uncultured bacterium. RNAcentral describes it as "partial 16S ribosomal RNA". It matches the Rfam family "Bacterial small subunit ribosomal RNA", at positions 525 to 774 of the family's 1533-position model. The record is from RNAcentral.
ACGGAGGGGGCUAGCGUUAUUCGGAAUUAUUGGGCGUAAAGGGCGCGUAGGUGGCCCGGUAAGUCAAAGGUGAAAUCCCUCGGCUCAACCGAGGAAUUGCCCUUGAAACUGCUGGGCUUGAGGCCGGGAGGGGGUAGCGGAAUUCCCAGUGUAGCGGUGAAAUGCGUAGAUACUGGGAGGAACACCGGUGGCGAAGGCGGCUACCUGGACCGGUUCUGACACUGAUGCGCGAAAGCGUGGGUAGCAAACA